CAAGUCGAACGGUAACAGGGAGCUUGCUCCGCUGACGAGUGGCGAACGGGUGAGUAAUGUAUCGGAACGUACCCAAGAGUGGGGGAUAACGUAGCGAAAGUUACGCUAAUACCGCAUACGAUCUACGGAUGAAAGCAGGGGACCUUCGGGCCUUGUGCUCCUGGAGCGGCCGAUAUCUGAUUAGCUAGUUGGUGAGGUAAAGGCUCACCAAGGCGACGAUCAGUAGCUGGUCUGAGAGGACGACCAGCCACACUGGGACUGAGACACGGCCCAGACUCCUACGGGAGGCAGCAGUGGGGAAUUUUGGACAAUGGGGGCAACCCUGAUCCAGCAAUGCCGCGUGAGUGAAGAAGGCCUUCGGGUUGUAAAGCUCUUUUGUCAGGGAAGAAACGGGUUUGGCUAAUAUCCAGAUCUAAUGACGGUACCUGAAGAAUAAGCACCGGCUAACUACGUGCCAGCAGCCGCGGUAAUACGUAGGGUGCAAGCGUUAAUCGGAAUUACUGGGCGUAAAGCGUGCGCAGGCGGUUUUGUAAGUCUGUUGUGAAAUCCCCGGGCUUAACCUGGGAAUGGCAAUGGAGACUGCAAGGCUAGAGUUUGGCAGAGGGGGGUAGAAUUCCACGUGUAGCAGUGAAAUGCGUAGAGAUGUGGAGGAACACCGAUGGCGAAGGCAGCCCCCUGGGUCAAAACUGACGCUCAUGCACGAAAGCGUGGGGAGCAAACAGGGAUUAGAUACCCUGGUAGUCCACGCCCUAAACGAUGUCUACUAGUUGUCGGGUCUUAAUUGACUUGGUAACGCA
RNAcentral lists this ribosomal RNA (797 nucleotides) under uncultured Massilia sp. Its description in RNAcentral is "bacterial SSU rRNA". It matches the Rfam family "Bacterial small subunit ribosomal RNA", at positions 58 to 850 of the family's 1533-position model. Lineage: Bacteria; Pseudomonadati; Pseudomonadota; Betaproteobacteria; Burkholderiales; Oxalobacteraceae. The record is from RNAcentral.